This 26-nucleotide non-coding RNA is filed under the name Mus musculus (house mouse). The record is from RNAcentral. Lineage: Eukaryota; Metazoa; Chordata; Mammalia; Rodentia; Muridae.
UUUUUCUAUGUUUCACGGUUGCAGGU